This 423-nucleotide ribosomal RNA is filed under the name uncultured bacterium. RNAcentral describes it as "bacterial SSU rRNA". It matches the Rfam family "Bacterial small subunit ribosomal RNA", at positions 207 to 622 of the family's 1533-position model. The record is from RNAcentral.
AAGACCUUGCGCUUUUGGAGCGGCCGAUGCCUGAUUAGCUUGUUGGUAAGGUAAAAGCUUACCAAGGCUUCGAUCAGUAGCUGGUCUGAGAGGACGACCAGCCACACUGGGACUGAGACACGGCCCAGGCUCCUAUGGGAGGCAGCAGUGGGGAAUUUUGGACAAUGGGGGCAACCCUGAUCCAGCCAUGCCGCGUGAGUGAAGAAGGCCUUCGGGUUGUAAAGCUCUUUCAGCCGGAACGAAACGGUUACGGUUAAUACCCGUGACUACUGACGGUACCGGAAGAAGAAGCACCGGCUAACUACGUGCCAGCAGCCGCGGUAAUACGUAGGGUGCGAGCGUUAAUCGGAAUUACUGGGCGUAAAGCGUGCGCAGGUGGUUUUGUAAGUCAGAUGUGAAAGCCCCGGGCUCAACCUGGGAACU